This 62-nucleotide transfer RNA is filed under the name Hypothenemus sp. BMNH 1040003. Its description in RNAcentral is "tRNA-Cys". Lineage: Eukaryota; Metazoa; Arthropoda; Insecta; Coleoptera; Curculionidae. RNAcentral also lists the same sequence under 1 other name. The record is from RNAcentral.
AAUUAUAUAUUCAAUAAUGAUUUUAAAUUGCAAAUUUAAAGGUAGCUUACAGCUUAUAAUUU